RNAcentral lists this long non-coding RNA (2046 nucleotides) under Gallus gallus (chicken). RNAcentral's name for it is "lncRNA (ENSGALG00010004796.1)". Lineage: Eukaryota; Metazoa; Chordata; Aves; Galliformes; Phasianidae. The record is from RNAcentral.
AGACACUGUUCUGGAUAAGCAGCUGUUGUGUUACUUUGCUUCAGUGAUUUUUAUCAUUUAAACUUAAGAUCUAGGCUGUAUCUGUCAACAGUCUGUGACUUCCCAAAGGCUUUGUGCAGUCCUGCUGCUGCUCAUAGACUUGGAACCAUUUCAGAGCAGGUGAGGUGCAAUUACUGUGGAUGGUUUCUACUCUGGUGUACUAGAGGUGGUUGCUGUUUACAGUUGCAGUUCGAAGGAAAUCUUGCUCCUGCAGAUUUCAGGACUGUCAGGAAGGAUGAGGAGGCAGUCAUUGACAAAAUCAGUUAUAUUCAGAAGGCAACCAUGCCAGAAGGUGUCAACCACACUGGAACGCAGUGGAAGAAAAGGAGCUAAUAAUUAUAAGCACUCUCAUUAUUUAGAAAGUACGCUACUCAAAAUGAAUUCAGCUUUCUGAUGACAAGUGAUUUCUCUCACCCCAAGGAGCAUUUCAAAGCAUCCACACAACCAUCUGCAUGAACCCCAGGAGGUGAAGGUAUGGGACCCUCCUUCCAGCUGUGGUGCAGAAUUUAAAAUUGACUGAGAGGUAACUGCAAGUGUUGGAGUUGAGAGAGCUGUUCAAGGAUUCAGUCAUGGAUGUUUGAUAUCUGUCAAAGAGAGCCGUAUGCUUCAACCAUUGACAGGAAAAGGAGUCACUGGUUUCUUCCAAGCUUAAGCAUCGCUUGAAGUAUUUUUAAGGGAAUUAGGGCAAAUCAAACAGCUCCUUGAAUUUGGUACUACGCUUGGCCAUCAGCAACACUGGAAAGCUCACUAAGGCAGCCUUUUCACAGAUACGCAACUGCAAAAUGGUGGCUGCUAAAACUCAGGCAGCUAACGACUACAUGAAUCUAACAAUCUGGCAAGCAAGAAGGACUGGCUGACAAUCUAUCUGCAAUUUGUGCUUUAAGUGCAGUCUCUAGUUGUAUAUACUAAACCCUGGACUGAUGCCACAGUUGCAGAGCCAGAAGAGAGCAGUUGCUGCAGAUGAAGCUCCAUCCUCAUUCUGGUCAGCCACAAUCUGAAUGCAUGCAGCUCUCCACUUUCUCUCAGUGGAAUUCUUUAGCCUUUUAGAAAAUCCCACUGGUUUAUCUUCAGUCAAGAGUUUGUGCCUCUGGAGUUCCACAUCUCAACCACAAAGAGCAUGUUUAUUUUGUUGCUGUUACAGAAAAAUAAUGAGUCCUGCAUUUUCACCAAUAGUAAGUGAAACUGAUAAUACGAACAUGAGAAAAUACUACAAAUCUGAUUUAUUAAUCUAGACAUGCUUUCGUGUUGUUUGGCGUCUGCUGCAUUUGGCACCAAAGAUGCCUCUAAUCUUUCCUUGAGGGACCAAAUCAAAGGAGAUGAGGUGGAAGUGCAGUAUUGGCUACAUGGGCCUUCCUUCUUGGAGAGGGAAUUGAGUGCUAAGUUGUUUUUAAGCCUAAGAAAAACAAACAAAAUCCUGAGUCAUGAUGCCUUUUAAGUAUCAAUGAAAUUAGUAGAAGGGAGGUUCUACUGUGUUUAUUCAGUUCUGAUAGUGAUGAUGCAUAAGCAUUGGUUUUAUAUUUCUGAGAUGAAGAUGACAGCACUGUCUGAGAUCACAACUCUGCCUGGAGAGAAUAUGAGACGAAAACCUGUGGUUUCACUGCUGUCCUUACUUCUAGAUGACCUGUAGUGAAGUGCAAGAAUGCAAAUGGAUCUGAACCGUAACGAGAGGCUGGUGUUAAAGAAUAAAUGCCUGAGCACUAGCAAGGACACACUGGGAAGUUCAACGGCAAGUAUCACAGCAGGGUGAGGGCUCCGCUGGACUGCAGUGCAAGACCACUUGAUGGCUGUGAAGAUGAUUAAAUGCUGCAGAGAUGGAGCAGCUGAUGUGUGAGGAGAGGCUGCUUAGCCUGGAAGGGGCUCUGAGGGUCCUUACUGGUGUGCCCUUACCCGGUGGAGGAAGAUGGAAUCAGACUCUUCCCCAUGGUACCCAGUGAGCAAGAGAUACAAACUGAAAUACAGAGACGUCCGUUAAGCAUAAGAAAAACGUGUGCUAACGGCCGUCCAUCC